UGGAACAUUAACAGAACAUUCCCACAUGGUACUAUUUUGGUCGUAUCAUAACGUUCCUGAUAUGACUGUAGGAUGACGUUCCAUAUUGGUUAUCCUGUGGUCACAUAAGAACGUUACAGAAAGGACAUUUGGAACAUUAACAGAACAUUCCCACAUGGUACUAUUUUGGUCGUAUCAUAACGUUCCUGAUAUGACUGUAGGAUGACGUUCCAUAUUGGUUAUCCUGUGGUCACAUAAGAACGUUACAGAAAGGACUUUUGGAACAUUUACAGAACCAUCCUACAUGGUCCUCUGUUGGUCGUAUCAUAACGUAUUAUGUUAUACUCUCUGAAUAUAAUGAUGUAGAUUGCAAUGCAUCUUGGAAACAGUAGUCAGUUAACAGCAAAUCGUUCAAUCUGCUUUAUGAAAAGAACUACCUUUCCCAUAAUGCAACAGCUUACAAGAGGACCCGGAAGUCACAUGAAAUUCAAACUGCCACACUUGACGACGCGUGAUCUUUGUUUUGUCUUUAUAUAAUACUGUAAGAAGUCAUGUACCACACAUUGUCAAACCUGAAGAAGUGUAUCUUCCUGCAAUCUGGGUAAAGAAGGUGUAACUUUAACACACAUUAUUUAAAAACAUAAGAGUCAUGUUCAUUAUUUAUCUUUGUGUAAUUUGAUUUAAAUUACAAUAUUGAAUGUAUUGAAUUUGUUAAAUUUUGUAUGAGGUAAUUUCUUGUAUGGGUUAAUUUGCCUAAUAUUAGUAUUAGAUACAAAAGCACAAGUGUUUUGGCUUAAAAGUGACAGCAUGUUUUAAAAAUGUUUCAGGUAGUGGGGCUUGGAUUGUUUGAAGUAGUAAAGAAUAAUGGCAAAUAAUGAAGCAGGCAAUAAAAAAAUACUUGACCAAGAAGUUUUGGAGCUUAACAUUUUUGUAGUUUGUAAUUGCUUUUUUCUUUAAGUUGGUAAUUUGAAAAUCUUUCUGGAAGUCUGAAAUCUUCCUACAUAUUUUUUUCACAUCUCGAUUUGAAUGUUAAAAAUCUUAGUUCUUGGAUUUGUGAUGUUUUGUAAUAUGUGUUUUUGCCCUUACUUAUGCAUUUUAUGUAAAUAUAUUUUUAACUGGAUUUGUAUUUGUAUGCUCUUAUUCUGCAGGCUCCAGACCUGGAGAUUGAAGUUCCUAAAGGUUGAUGUUUAUCAAGCUUGUGACCUUAUCACAUGGUGUUAUUUUUUUACAUUUAUAUAUCUAAUACACAUUUGCACAUCUGUAAACAUAUAUUUAAUAUUUUGUGGGCUAUUUUUUAUUUUAUUUAACCAGUUGUUGUAUAUUGAAAUAUGUUACAUUUUAUGCACUCCAAAUGUAAAUGUUUUGUUUUAAUUGCAUCUUUAUUGUUUAAAACAAUUUAAUUAAUGUGGGUUUUUGUUAGCUUUUAUGUUAUUCUUGUAUUUUUUGGCUAUUUAUUUGUUUUUGUUUUUUAUUAUCCUUCUGUUAAUUUGCCAGAUUUUGACCUUCUAUUUGUUUUUCCUGUAAUCUCACUUCAUUUGGACUUCAUUUCCCAUAAUCCUUUUCACUCUCUCACCUGAACUGUGUAUGUUAUUAUCCUCACCUGACAGUCAUCCCCCUCAUCACUCCAUUGUCUAAAUACCCUGCUUUUCCCUUUGUCUAGGUCAGUUCUUGUUUAUAGUGAUGUGUUGUGUGUUUUGCUGUUUACCAGUUUCCAUGUUCCUUGUUUUAUAUUAAUUAAAGAUUAUCAUUUUGGAUUCAU
Molecule: non-coding RNA, 1738 nt
Organism: Misgurnus anguillicaudatus (oriental weatherfish)
Lineage: Eukaryota; Metazoa; Chordata; Actinopteri; Cypriniformes; Cobitidae
Source: RefSeq, a predicted model, not a curated record